CCUACGGGUGGCAGCAGUGGGGAAUAUUGGACAAUGGGCGAAAGCCUGAUCCAGCCAUGCCGCGUGUGUGAAGAAGGCCUUCGGGUUGUAAAGCACUUUCAGUGGGGAAGAAAGCCUUGGGGCUAAUACCCUCGAGGAAGGACAUCACCCACAGAAGAAGCACCGGCUAACUCCGUGCCAGCAGCCGCGGUAAUACGGAGGGUGCGAGCGUUAAUCGGAAUUACUGGGCGUAAAGCGCGCGUAGGCGGUCUGAUAAGCCGGUUGUGAAAGCCCCGGGCUCAACCUGGGAACGGCAUCCGGAACUGUCAGGCUAGAGUGCAGGAGAGGAAGGUAGAAUUCGCGGUGUAGCGGUGAAAUGCGUAGAGAUCGGGAGGAAUACCAGUGGCGAAGGCGGCCUUCUGGACUGACACUGACGCUGAGGUGCGAAAGCGUGGGUAGCAAACAGGAUUAGAUACCCGUGUAGUC
Molecule: ribosomal RNA, 465 nt
Filed under: Vreelandella stevensii
Lineage: Bacteria; Pseudomonadati; Pseudomonadota; Gammaproteobacteria; Oceanospirillales; Halomonadaceae
Description: partial 16S ribosomal RNA
Rfam family: Bacterial small subunit ribosomal RNA
Source: RNAcentral